AACGCUGGCGGCGCGCUUAAUACAUGCAAGUCGAGCGAGAACUAGGGCUUCGGCCCUGGGGACAGCGGCGAACGGGUGAGUAACACGUGGGUAAUCAACCCCCGACACCGGGUUAGCCCAGGGAAACUUGGAUUAAUACCGGAUGCCCCAUCUGGCUUUCGAGCCGGCUGGAAAAGGGUAGCUUCGGCCUCCGGUCGGGGACGAGCCCGCGGCGGAUUAGCUUGUUGGUGAGGUAAAGGCUCACCAAGGCGACGAUCCGUAGCUGGUCUGAGAGGACGAUCAGCCACACUGGGACUGAGACCCGGCCCAGACUCCUACGGGAGGCAGCAGUAGGGAAUCUUGCGCAAUGGGCGAAAGCCUGACGCAGCGACGCCGCGUGAGGGAAGAAGGCCUUCGGGUUGUAAACUGCUUUUGUACGGAACGAAAAGACUCUGGUUAAUACCUGGGGUCCAUGACGGUACCGUAAGAAUAAGCACCGGCUAACUACGUGCCAGCCGCCGCAGUAA
This 506-nucleotide ribosomal RNA is filed under the name uncultured bacterium. Its description in RNAcentral is "partial 16S ribosomal RNA". It matches the Rfam family "Bacterial small subunit ribosomal RNA", at positions 32 to 523 of the family's 1533-position model. The record is from RNAcentral.